Apteryx owenii (little spotted kiwi) is the source of this 1368-nucleotide long non-coding RNA. NCBI's taxonomy places the organism in Eukaryota, Metazoa, Chordata, Aves, Apterygiformes, Apterygidae. The record is from Ensembl.
AUGCUUUAUCUUCCUGGGAAUCGCAAUAAACCAGGCAGGUGUGAACCAAGUCGAGACUGUCAGGUGGAAGAAUCGAUGGUUUUUCCUUUGGCUGCUUGUGCAGGCACAUAUUUGUUGAGCAGCUGCAGACUUUUGGCAGCGACACAUGUGCCCUUCCAAGAACAGGCACCUGUGAAAGCAGAGGCCAUCCUGUGGGAGAGCAUCCAUCUUCUUGAAACUUGUAAGAACAUUUCUGCACUGCUUUGCUCUUGAUCCUCACUCCUGAACCGAACCCUUCUGGGGUAAUGCUUCCCAGACCACCCAACUGAUCAGGAGCCUGAGUGCCUUUUCAGCAGUGACUUAGGUCCUGAGGACAUCGUUGGUCUGCUCAAGAGCGGCAUCAACCAGGAGCACUUUAAUCAUCUUCAGGAGGCUGGUGUGCAAAGCUUGCUCUGCAUUCGCUGGCAGCGAAGUCUGCCUACACCAGGGCUCCGGAGGCGAGCGGGUGCUCGCUGCAGCCCACGAGCGCACAGCGGUGGGUCACCGCUCCCGCCGGCAGCCAGAGCUGUUUCACGGUGAGUCUGGAGUUUGGCAUCCAGCGGUGCACUGCAGGUCCGUGGAAAGCACCAGCCUGUAGCAGAGGGUUGCGCCUCUGUCUGCGGUCUUUGCAAAGGGGCCCUGGCUGUGCAGGCUCACUGGGGUUCCUUGGCUAAGGAGAGAGGGAGGCACGGCGAGAUCAGGGAAUUUUCCCACGCCAGGAGCCUGUGAACUCCAAGUAACCCUUCUUCCAGGCCAGAGCUGUAUGCCCCAAAGCAUCGUCUGUGCCUUAAUUUCAUCUCUCCUCCUAUUUGUCCAACAGCUCAGCUUGAUAGCCUUUAUUUUAUGCUUGUUUAAGUUAAUUUUAUAAUCAGUGGACAGAAGAGGCAUUUUGGCUUGAUGGUCAUUUACAGCUGGGUAGGAUCAGGGCAGCUGUAAAUCGUGUCUAGUUAAUGAGUAGUGAACAGUUCAAGCAGUGCUGAUGUUGAGCUGUUCAUGUCUGUUAAAAGGAGUACGCUCCGUGCCAAAUGGUAAAUUUGCAUGGAAGGAAAAUUGUCCUGCUUCCUUCCUAAAUACUGAGCUGAAUGUGGCCCGAGUCCUUCAUGAGAUUAGAAAAAACCCAGCAAACUAUUUUCCCUAAAUGUUCAUCCAGAUAUAUGGUAGAGGGGUUACUACUGAACAAGUGAAAUAUGGAGCUGUUUAAAAAUCAACUUUUUCACAGGGAAAUGUUUAUUGUAUACUGUGCAUUCUGGGUUGCUUUUUUUCUUCCUGUUGGAAAAAAAAAGCUCAAAAUGAACAUUUUUUAAAAUGAUGAAAAAAUCGAUGUUACAAAAAUAAAUGCUUCAUUUUUCA